ACCUAGCUCAAAGGGUAAAGAAUCUGCCUGUUAUGCAGGAGACCAGGGUUCAAUCCCUGGGU
This 62-nucleotide transfer RNA is filed under the name Bos taurus (domestic cattle). It matches the Rfam family "tRNA", at positions 5 to 66 of the family's 71-position model. From Rfam's summary of the family: Transfer RNA (tRNA) molecules are approximately 80 nucleotides in length. Their secondary structure includes four short double-helical elements and three loops (D, anti-codon, and T loops). Lineage: Eukaryota; Metazoa; Chordata; Mammalia; Artiodactyla; Bovidae. RNAcentral also lists the same sequence under 2 other names. The record is from Rfam by way of RNAcentral.